Molecule: ribosomal RNA, 468 nt
Filed under: uncultured bacterium
Lineage: Bacteria
Description: partial 16S ribosomal RNA
Rfam family: Bacterial small subunit ribosomal RNA
Source: RNAcentral
GACGAACGCUGGCGGCGUGCUUAACACAUGCAAGUCGAACGGAAAGGCCCUGCUUUUGUGGGGUGCUCGAGUGGCGAACGGGUGAGUAACACGUGAGUAACCUGCCCUUGACUUUGGGAUAACUUCAGGAAACUGGGGCUAAUACCGGAUAGGAGCUCCUGCUGCAUGGUGGGGGUUGGAAAGUUUCGGCGGUUGGGGAUGGACUCGCGGCUUAUCAGCUUGUUGGUGGGGUAGUGGCUUACCAAGGCUUUGACGGGUAGCCGGCCUGAGAGGGUGACCGGCCACAUUGGAACUGAGAUACGGCCCAGACUCGUACGGGAGACAGCAGUGGGGAAUAUUGCAAAAUGGGCGGAAGCCUGAUGCAGCAACGCCGCGUGCGGGAUGACGGCCUUCGGGUUGUAAACCGCUUUCGCCUGUGACGAAGCGUGAGUGACGGUAAUGGGUAAAGAAGCACCGGCUAACUACGUG